Molecule: long non-coding RNA, 837 nt
Filed under: Ananas comosus (pineapple)
Lineage: Eukaryota; Viridiplantae; Streptophyta; Magnoliopsida; Poales; Bromeliaceae
Description: long non-coding RNA (ACOM_LNC044211)
Source: RNAcentral
GUCUAAUCCUCGAGUUUCGAGAAUUCACUUCCUUACACCGAGAGUGUUAAUUUAGAACGAAUCGAUGUCAACGUUGAAAAGAACCAAAACCGGAACAACAUUAGACUGCUUAGUUGCGCCCUAACAGUAUAACUUUGCAACGAAUACUUUUUCUCAUUCAAUCGAACAAAGAGUAAAACCUAAUUAUAUUAGUCUAUUAUGCCCCGAGAGUGUUAAUUUAGAACGAAUCGAUGUCAAUGUUGACAAGAACCAAAACCGGAACAACAUUAGACUACUCAGUUGCGCCCUAACAGUAUAACUUUGCAACGAGUACUUUUUCUCAUUCAAUCGAAAAAAGAGUAAAAGCUAAUUAUAUUGUUCUAUUAUGCCACGAGAGUGUAAAUUUGGAAAGAAUCGAUGUUAGCGUUGACAAGAACCAAAACCGGAACAACAUUAGAUUACUCAGUUGCGCCCUAACAGUAUAACUUUGCAACGAGUACUUUUUCUCAUUCAAUCGAACAAAGAGUAAAAGCUAAUUAUAUUGUUCUAUUAUGCCCCGAGAUUGUUAACUUAGAACGAAUCGUUGUCAACCUUCACAAGAACGAGGACCGGAACAACAUUAGACUGCUCAGUUGCGCCCUAACAGUAUAAAUUUGCAACGAGUACUUUUUCUCAUUCAAUCGAACUGUCACGCCCGGGUACCAGCGGAAGCAUAUCCGGCACGUGCACAGACCCGCCAUACACCUGCAGUAUAUAAGGCGUCUACGAGAAGCAAGUCGAUAGGAAGUAAAACAAGAGAGUCUUAUCCUGAUAUCAGAGCAAAGUACAAGUCGAUAUACAACGAGUAUCCAAUCCGAG